Non-coding RNA from Schistosoma mansoni, 271 nucleotides. NCBI's taxonomy places the organism in Eukaryota, Metazoa, Platyhelminthes, Trematoda, Strigeidida, Schistosomatidae. The record is from Rfam.
GAGAUCGUACUUCUAGGGAUCAGUCCUAUAGUACGUAUCACCAGGACGUCAAACAAACUUGACCCUGGCCAACCAACCGCGAUGAUGAUCAGUGCGGCCUAUUCCUGAGCGUGAAGCGGGUGUGUGGCUGUCCGUCUGGCUGGCUUCUCACGAAGUCUGUUCGUGCGGACUCGGCCGCCUCCUUGUCCGAUCGUCCAGCCGAAUUGAGGACUGCGUGCGAAAGCGUUGCAAUUCCAAUUCGGUAUGGAGGAACUGGCCUGUGCUGAGCGGC